CAAUAGCGUAUAUUAAAGUUGUUGCAGUUAAAAAGCUCGUAGUUGGACCUUGGACCUGGACAGGCGGUCCGCCUCACGGCGUGUACUGUCUUGCUGGGUCUUUCCUCUUGGUGAUCUGUUGUUUCGGCAGCAGGGAACCAGGACUUUUACUUUGAAAAAAUUAGAGUGUUCAAAGCAGGCUCGACGCCGGAAUAUAUUAGCAUGGAAUAAUAAAAUAGGACGUGCGGUUCUAUUUUGUUGGUUUUUGGAAUCGCCGUAAUGAUUAAUAGGGACAGUCGGGGGCAUUAGUACUCACAUGCUAGAGGUGAAAUUCUUGGAUUUUGUGAAGACUAACUUCUGCGAAAGUAUUUGCCAAGGAUGUUUUCAUUAA
Molecule: ribosomal RNA, 370 nt
Filed under: uncultured eukaryote
Lineage: Eukaryota
Description: partial 18S ribosomal RNA
Rfam family: Eukaryotic small subunit ribosomal RNA
Source: RNAcentral